This 249-nucleotide ribosomal RNA is filed under the name uncultured bacterium. RNAcentral's name for it is "partial 16S ribosomal RNA". It matches the Rfam family "Bacterial small subunit ribosomal RNA", at positions 355 to 621 of the family's 1533-position model. The record is from RNAcentral.
UGGGGAAUCUUGCGCAAUGGGCGAAAGCCUGACGCAGCAACGCCGCGUGCGGGAAGAAGGCUUUCGGGCUGUAAACCGCUUUCAGCAGGAACGAAAAUGACGGUACCUGCAGAAGAAGGAGCGGCCAACUAUGGGCCAGCAGCCGCGGGGAUACAUAGGCUUCAAGCGUUGUCCGGAUUUAUUGGGCGUAAAGAGUUCGUAGGCGGUCAAGUAAGGCGGGUGUGAAAAUUGUGGGCUUAACCCAGGGAC